RNAcentral lists this long non-coding RNA (2996 nucleotides) under Gallus gallus (chicken). Its description in RNAcentral is "long non-coding RNA NONGGAT011679". Lineage: Eukaryota; Metazoa; Chordata; Aves; Galliformes; Phasianidae. The record is from RNAcentral.
GGGACACUUAAGUACAAGGUUUCCCAUUGCUAUUAAAGCUUCAGUCUUCAUAAAGGUUUUCUGAGCUUCUUAAUCUAAGCAGUUUAAUUUUAACCAACAAGACUAGUUCAGAGAAACCUGCGAGGCAGAGCACGAUCUCUCCCUCAACAUCCCCAACCUCUCCUCUGUAGAGGGGGCAUACAAAUUUCUAUGUAAAGUUGCAGGUAAGCUUUUGUCUCAAUCCCCCAGCUCCUCAUCCUUUCAACUGUUCUCACUAUACCUACAAGGGAGAAAUUCUCCUCUGAAACACCCAAGAUAGCUUCAAACUAUGUCUAACAGUGAGACUAUUUGGACAUAACUGAUAUACACUGAUUACUCAUAGCUCAACAGAGUCUUAAUAUGGACAGUAUGCUUCAGCAAAAUAAGUCAGUACAGUUUAUCUGAAACAAUAUUUUGUAUCAAAGCAGCAGCAUGUACUUACCAUGCUUUUGAUCCUGUUCCUGUGCACACAUUGAGCCCUGAACUCUUCUGCUUUUCCCAAGGACCAUCAUCAACUGAUAUCUCAUAAUAGGAGGCCCUAUGAAGCGAGAAUUUAAAACUGGGUUUGCAGGACUUAAAGUUCUCCCUGAAUAAGACAGAACACACAGCCUUAUCAGGCACAUAAAAAUUUAGAGGGGAUAUUUUCAAAUCUGGAUGACAAUUUCACAGGCUUUGUUGAGUACUUCCAAUUUGGUAGCCACUUUUCACUCAGUUUUAUAGCAGGUUUUAUAAUGGAAAAAAGCAAUCUGUAGCAUGAAGUUUUAGACAAUUUUCCUUGCAGGUACUUUUAAUAUUCAAUUCCAUGUGAAGAACUCUGUGGAUCAUUUGGCAAUGACUUUGCAUAAAAGCAGGGUUUGCUGUACUUAGAAAUGAAACUGCAAAUACAUUACCUUCCUUGUAUAAUUGUUGAACUACUGCAUAAACUGUGCUUAUGCUGUGACUGGGUCUCAAAAUUAUAUCAGGAAACACUAAGAGUAAACAAUAGCACAGCUUUAAGCUGAGUUCAUCACUUCAGUAAUUAAAAACCCACUGUGAUUAUUCACAAACAACUUUAGUUUUACAACAUUCAGCAGGUUUUUGAGUUUCUCUUCAAGACAAAUUCUUCCUAAAACUCAAGUGUUCAAGUCUUGGGGCACAAUCAUCAUUCUGCAUGGUAUUAUUGAUGUAUCAGAGGAUUCCUCAUCUUAGGCCUAUUACAACCAAUCUCUCUCCAUAAGCUUCAGAACUUCCAGGCAUAUUUAUGAACUACAGUUGUUGAUGCCUAAUAUAACUAGUAUAGUACAGUCCUCAGAUAGAUAACCCCUUGGAAACACAUCCCAUUCACUGUGUUCAGCAUGACUAAACUUCUUAAUAAAAGAAGUUUACUGAGCUUUUAGUGAUUGAUGUUUUGCUCUGGACAAACUAAAAAUACAAAACUUGUAAUACUUUCUUGUUUUCUUAACCGACAUUUGGAAGAUGCAUCUAGUGUUUUGUCUUUUUAUGCAGCAUUUCAGCCUUAAAAAUAAAAAUUUAUUUGAGCCUUAAAAAUGAGACCCAUCUGUAUGACAUCAUUAUUGAAGUCUUCAAAUCCAAUUAACACAAGAUCUAUUACUAAAGAUUUGUUCCUACAGGCAUUAUGUUCUUCAUUGCUUCUCAAAUAUACUGAACUAAGGAACACAAUGUAUUUAUGACAUUCAGAUGUAAAGGGCUACUGUAAAGUGUUGGAAAGCAGCUUUGUGGUCCUCUAUCGUUGUACAUUAAAUAAACCUUUUAGAAUCUUGAUAAAAUUGUAUUUGAUUAGUAGACAGCAAUAUAUGUAUCUGUUUGAGACUAAUUCCUUCUGCCAGUCUGUGGCUGCAGUCCAGAUGGAAGAUAAAGCACUCAUGGAACAUUUAUACUGUUUCCAGCAGCAAUCACAGUGUCCCAGGCACUGUACAAACACAAGAAGAUGUUACAAACUAAGGUUUAAAAAAAAAAAAAUACAGAGUUAAAAGGAUAUAAAAUACAAGUAAAAGUUUGGCCAAGUGCUGACUGAGGAUCAUGUUUUAACUCCUUCCUCACAGCCCCAAUCAUAUUCCCCACAUCCUUCUUGUUAUCGUUUGGCUAGCAGAAAUGCAUUUAUCUUCAGAAAGGCCAGUCAUGAAGGUAGAUUGCAUAAUGCAGUACCAUUAUGUGAUACAAACUGUCUUCUCAGAACAAGGACAUUUUCUUGACAGAACAAGGCUUCAGCCAAAUGCAGGGCUUCAGAGGUAGGGAAAGAAGUUCUUAUUAGUAUUUCAGUUUGGUCACACUAGGCUAAUGGAAAUAUAUUUAAGAAGUUCAGAAGAGUAGACAAUUAAAAGUCAUCUUUUGAAACCUUCAGUCCAUGGUAAAGACAGUAACUGAAAGUAUACGAUUAGGUAAUAGCUAGCCAAGAAAAUAACAGACAAGAAAAACAGAGGAGAGAAUGGCCAGACUGGAAAAUGGAAAAACAGAUGCUUACAACACUGCACUUUACACUUAAUCUCUGAAUACACAUUUCAUAACCAACAACAAUCCAGCCUCCUGGAUUUUAGACUGAUGGACUAGAGCAGAAACUUGACAGCAAAGACAUUAUCAGUGAUUGCCCACUACAGCAUCAUGAAAAGAAAUGAAGUUGUGCCCUGCUGCAACAAAAAAAACAAUUAAGCAUACCUGGAUGAAAGAGAUUCCCCAAUGAAGACUUCAUUGAGUGCUCUCACUGGUAAAAGAUGUGGACCAGAAACAUCAGAUCCUGCAGAUAUUGAAGAGAACCAUGUUAAAUCGUGGUUCUAAAGCCACGAUUUUCAAAAACAACCCAUGAUUCAUUGGAAGACACGCUUUACUGCCCGUGUUUGCAUUUAGAUGUUGUUUCUCAGUGUCCAAUUUUCAUUUCAAGGACUCACUUUUUUCAUCAGUUUAGUCUGUACAUAGUUACAGUCCUUUAGUGGAAACAACAAGUAUUUGAACCAAGGUCAGUAAACCAAUGCCACACGUUUUCA